This 253-nucleotide ribosomal RNA is filed under the name uncultured bacterium. RNAcentral describes it as "partial 16S ribosomal RNA". It matches the Rfam family "Bacterial small subunit ribosomal RNA", at positions 524 to 776 of the family's 1533-position model. The record is from RNAcentral.
UACGGAGGGGGCUAGCGUUGUUCGGAAUUACUGGGCGUAAAGCGCGUGUAGGCGGCUUUGCAAGUCGGGUGUGAAAGCCCUCAGCUCAACUGAGGAAGCGCGCCCGAAACUGCAGAGCUUGAGUACCGGAGAGGAUGGCGGAAUUCCCCAAGUAGAGGUGAAAUUCGUAGAUAUGGGGAGGAACACCGGUGGCGAAGGCGGCCAUCUGGACGGAUACUGACGCUGAGACGCGAAAGCGUGGGUAGCAAACAGG